GUGAAUCAUCAAAUCUUUGAACGCAAAUUGCACUCUCUUCGGAGAGUAUGCCUGUUUCAGGGUCAGCCUCAAAAAUAAUCGACAUAGUUGCUGUUUCUCGGUGAUAUUCUUCCUAAAUUGGGUCAUCUUUCACCUUUGGGUUUUUAGCAGCUUAAAAUCUUCUUUCCGAUUCCACGAACGUUUCCACGAUUUACUUCUUACACGUUUACGGCAAUCGAUCCUUUUUAGACAC
RNAcentral lists this unclassified non-coding RNA (232 nucleotides) under Glomus sp. RNAcentral describes it as "partial contains 5.8S ribosomal RNA and internal transcribed spacer 2". The stretch from base 1 to 65 matches the Rfam family "5.8S ribosomal RNA", at positions 84 to 154 of the family's 154-position model. The record is from RNAcentral. Lineage: Eukaryota; Fungi; Glomeromycota; Glomeromycetes; Glomerales; Glomeraceae.